This 6171-nucleotide long non-coding RNA is filed under the name Homo sapiens (human). Its description in RNAcentral is "HSALNT0400675". The record is from RNAcentral. Lineage: Eukaryota; Metazoa; Chordata; Mammalia; Primates; Hominidae.
GUGACUCAGCUUCCCUGCUUGUGCAAGAACAGCUGAACUCUGACCUCCUGAAUGGCCGACUCUUGCCUUGCUCCUCAGGGACCCCAGACACGAUCGUAGGAACCGGAGGUACUACUGCCCUAAGCCAUAGCGCUUGACAUUAUCCAUUUAUUCAGCAGUUUCAAGUCGCGGCAAGCGGCGUUUGACCACUUCUGUUCCCUGCCCAGUGCUUAACUGGUACCUGGUGCCGGCCUGAUGGAGGCUCUGAAGGCUUUCCCUCAGAAAGCUGGACCCGCCCUGGGAAGCAGGUCCUAACCCCCCUUCACAGUCGAGCACAAGACCGCUUCAUUCACACUGCAGGAGCCAGCCCUGCUGUCAGACUGACGGUGCCAAACCCCCUUCUCCAAUGCUGCCCCCAAAAGGAACCAGGGAUCCAUUAUCCUGAUCAUGUCAAACGGCACCACGGUGAAUACGAGUCUUGGAAGCCAGACACUCUGGGUUCACAUGCCCCCUGGGCCCGCCCUUACGGUCUCUGCCUCAGUUUCCCCAUCGUAAGAAUGAUGUAGGUACCUCAAAGUGUUGUUACAACGAUUAAGUAAAUCUUAAGAUACAUUUGAAACUUGAACACGGGUUUCAAUUGUGCAGGUGCACUUAAACGUGGACUUUUUUUCUACCUCUGCCACCCCUGAGACACCAAGACCAACCCCCUCCUCUUCCUCAACACAGAGACCAGGAUGAAGAUCUUUAUUUAUGAUGAUCCACUUUCACUGAAUAAUUUUUUUUUUUUUGAGACGGAGUCUCACUCUGUCCCCCAGGCUGGAGUGCGGUGGUGCAAUCUUGGCUCACUGCAACCUCCGCCUCUUGGGUUCAAGUGAUUCUCCCACCUCAGCCUCCUGAGUAGCUGGGACUACAGUCGCCUGCCACCAUGCCAGGCUAAUUUUUGUAUUUUUAGUAGAGUCGGGGUUUCACCAUAUUGGCCAGGCUGGUCUCGAACUCCUGACUUUGUGAUCCGCCUGCCUCUCUCGGCUUACUGCAAGCUCUGCCUCCCGGGUUCAGGCCAUUCUCCUGCCUCAGCCUCCCGAGUAGCUGAGACUACAGGCGCCUGCCAUCAUGCCCGGCUAAUUUUUUGUAUUUUUAGUAGAAACGGGGGUUUCACCAUGUUAGCCAGGAUGGUCUCGAUCUCCUGACCUCCUGAUCUGCCCAUCUUGGCCUCCCAAAAUGCUGGGAUUACAGGCAUGAGCCACCAUGCCUGGCUCUUAGGAUUUUCUUAAUUACAUUUUCUCUAGCUUACUCUAUGGUAGACAGUGUAGUACGUAUAACAUACAAGAUGUUUUGACUGUUUAUGUUAUCAGGUAAGGCUUCUGGUCAACAGCAGACUAUUAGUUGUUUUGCGGGACUGAAAAGUUAUACAGAUUUUCGACCAUGAUGGGUUGGUGCCCCUAAUCCCUGUGUUGUUCAAGGGUCAGUUGCACUAGCAUAAUGCUAGUCACGUGAAAUACAGUCAGUGCACACUGGGGUCUCAGCAGGGCUGGUUUUCCCCUUGGAACCCUCUCUCUUGUCGCAGUCAUGGGAGACUGAGGCACAGAAACAGAAUCUAAUAAAGCAGGGUAGAACUUGGGUUCUAGAGCAGUUUCCUAAUAAUCCACCCCAAACCAGGUGAGGCUGGCAUCUAGCCCACUCGGGGCCCUGCCCAACCACCCACACCCCCUCCCCAGCAUGCAGGCCCAAUCCUUGCCCGGCCUGGUGCCAUUUUUCCAUGGGACUCUGAUGGUGGCGGUUCACAUCUGGAGUCUAGACUCGCAGGCUCUGCGGGCCAGGCCUACCGCCUGGGCUGGGCCACCACUGCCCGCUGUUUGCUCAGCUGAAGCUGGUUAAUUGGAAUUACAGUGGCCUCUGCGGUGCCGGCUGGCCGGGCGGGCCCUAGUCCGCUGCUCCGGAGGUCUGUGGAACAUCUGGCUGGACCAGGACAGUCAUUAGGUGGCAGGCGCUCGGCGCCACUGCCACCUCAGCCUCUGCCGGGGGCUGGUGGUGACUCAAUAAGGCCUUUGUGCGCCCUGGGCCGCAGAGCCAACCAUGCUAUGUGCCUGGGCCGCCUGCCCCAUCUGCCUCAGAGGGGCCUUGUUCCAGGACCACAUGGCCUCAGAGUUGGCUGGAGUGGGUAGAGAUUCCAGAAGCCCCUGAAAGGGAACCCCCCUCCCUGAAAGGAAGAAGCCUUUUGAAAUUUUCUACCCCUUUUCCUUCCUAUAGAACCCUGGAGCCAGUAAAAUUGGGUGGCUGGGGCUCAGGGAUGCCCAGCACACCAGCCAGUGACUUGGUCCCAGGGGUCUGGGGAGGAGCUGCGGUCCUUAGGAACCUGGAAUUGUUUGGCUUGGCUAAGGUCAAAUCGAUGUCCAUGGGCAAGCUGCCUCAAUUCCCUCAUCUGCACAGCGGAGCGAAUAAUAGCACAUACAGCCCAAGACUCAGAAGGAAGUGAAAUCCUAUAUCAAGGUGCUUAGUGCAUGUCAAUACCUAGUGAGGGUAUUACAGUCAUACUCCUGAGUCUCUGGUCAUGAUUGUCCUUUGGCCACUUCCAAACUGGAAGCCACUGUUAUUUUCAGCCUUUGAACCUGAAGCUUGGGCAAGGGAGAGCCCCGGGUCUGUCAGUAUGGUGGCCACCCGCUCCUGUCUGUUUCCCCACUCAGUGACCUCAUACCAGGUGGGUGGAUGAGGGUUGUGGCCACCGUUUGCCUGGUUUGGGGUGGUGCCCGGUCGGUCUCCUGCUGGCCGGGGCUGCUGUCUUCAGCAAACUUUAGGGAAACCCGGGCGCUGAGAUUUCAGCUCUUAGGCCCCAGAAGGCCUCUAAGAAUCACUAGCUCAGUCCUUCCCCACCCCAGCCUCUAGAGGUCCUGGCCCUUGUGCCAUGACUGGCCCCACAGUAGUCAUUUUGGGAAGAAACCCAGGAAUGGGCAGAAUGGGAGACAAAGCCUUGAUCUUCAGGGCAACCUAGAGUCUGAGCCCUCAUCAGCCGAAGCCAUAUGGGCACAGGGACCAGGGAGGCUGGCAGGUUCUACAGUUACUGCUUCCCUUGUGAGUCAGGUCAGCCCUGGGUACUCCCCACCACUCUCACCAUGGUGAGUGGGAGACUCUCAUCUGCCAACACCCUUGCUGCCCCCAAGUAUUUCGAGGAAGGUGGUGAGAAAAGUGCUAGCUGGUGAGAGAGGGCUCGUGGGCCCCCUCUACUGGCUAAAAGGUGUUUUACGGGUGCAGGGCUGGCCAGGCACUGGGGUGGGCACCCUUAAGGGGCUUGCAGAAAAGAUUUUGGGUGGGCAGGUGAGACCUAGAAAACCCAGGGCAAGACACUGGGUGCUUAAACAGAGAAUCUUCCAGGAGCACAGUGGCCCGCCCUGGCCAUGGGAUGAGUUUUUAAUGUGAGGCAAAAUCAGUCCACAAUACAAAAUCUAAAAAUCACACCCACUUUUCCCACCUGGCUCCCGGGGAGGGGGGAAGCUGGGGGUUUCUUUUGCCUGCAGGGUGUGGGGAGGAGCAGAGGAGGGCCAAGAAAGGGAGAAGGAAACAGAGGCCACAGAGGCCUGGCUGGAGGUAUCCUGCUGCCCCCUGCCCUGUCCUGGAGCUGCCCUUGGCCUCCUGUGCCCUCUACCGGUGCACGCCUGUGUGGGCCCAGCCCCCAUCUGUCUGGUCUGGCCCUGAGAGGCUCGGGCACCAGCUGCAUCAUUUCUCUUUCUUCUCCAGCCCCUUCGAUGCUGAUGCCUCUGUUCCCUCUUUGGAUUCUGUCACUGCCGCUGGAUCCUUAGGAUUUGACUCCUCAUAACUGACCAAAAAAAAAAAAACAACAAUAAAAAUUCAUUUAGAGGAGAGGGUGAGCAGAACCUUGGUUGUCCCCUUCCCCCACCCCCAUCCUAGGAAAGCGCCUGGUCACAUGCAGAGCGUCAGCCCUGUGUCCACUGCCCAGCACCUAACAGCGCCUGGCCCCAGCCCUACCACAUGCCCUCCUCAGGCAGGCUGCUCUGCUUUCUCUGAGCCUGGGGGUACCAGGAGGCAGCAAGGGCAGCAGCCAAUGGAAGAGAGGUUGGGCCUGGGCUUGUGUGGGCUGAUUUCAAGCUUCCUGAACCUUCUGCUGUAGCGUGGAAAAAGGGGUGGCCAUGACAAGGCUACAAGAGAUGGAGAUAGGCUGCCUCCCAGGGCACACAGCAUGAAUCAAACAGCUCAGCCCCAGAGGUGAGGGCACUGCUGUACUGGCAAGCGGCAAGGUGCUGCUCUGAAGACAGACACCCUGGCUUAGCUUCUUCUAUGGGCUUCAUUUUUCAAGCAACUGAGUUCAUGCCAAAGAUAAUACAAAUCUUUCCUCACCAGAUAAACCCCGUGAGGCAGGAAUGUGCCCACUUACAGAUGAAGAAAGUAACUUGCCUAAGGUUAUACAUAUACCUUGAAUGGUAACAGUAUCUACUACUGCAUGACAAGGGCCAUUUCCAUCCACUAUGAUGUGGGCCCCGCAUUACUGGUGAGGGCAGGAAGCUUCGGGGUUGUCCUGCUUCCCAGCCCUAUGGCUCGGUGCAACCACUGCCUGGUGGUUGUGGAGGAGCUGCUCUUGCGGCCUACUCCUGGCAAUGGUCCCUGCCCUAUGCACUGGAGCUGCAGUGUCUGCCCUACCUUGGGCCCCGGGGCAGUAGGGGGAAGCGGGCAGGUGGGCACCCGCUGGGCAUUACAUGGCGCUGGGAUUCUGCGGGCGCCGGCGGCGAGGGCCAGCUAGCUUCUGCUGCAUGGAGUCGGCCAGGCUGGCUGGGGAGCCCGAGACUGUGGGGAAGUGGGUGAGCCUCGGGGUAUGAGGCAGGAUUUCCGCCGAGGACUCGUAGCUGUGUGAGAGAGAGAGAAGAGACAGAAAAAAAGAGAUGGAUAGGGAAAGACUAAGGGAGGACAGAGACUUCCUUUCCAAGGAGCAGAGAGCAGAACUGUCUUGUUUUUACCUAUUUUUGCACUUCCAGAUUUUAUGGAAAGAAGCUGAUAUUAUUUGGAGAAUGAAAAAAGAAAGAUGCACCUAGACAAAGGCACAUCAGGCCACUGUGCAGAAGAACAAGCAUGCUCUAGAAGUGUAUGUGCUGCUGUGGAAACACCUCUAAGAAAUACCGUAGAAACCCAAUGUGCAGAAUGCUCCAAGAAUGCCACCGUCUGUGCAAGAAAAAGUAUACACACAUCAGUGCACAGGUGUCUGAAUGUCUGUGUAACACUGCUGGCCUCUGUGGGGUAGCUGGAGCAUGAGGGUGCUCUCUCUGUUACAGCUUUGGAAUUUUUAACUAUGUGAAUGUGGUACCAAUAUAAAAAUAAGUAAAUCAAUAAAAAAAGGAGGAGAAUAGAAGGGAAAAGUAAAAAGGUGGAGAAUUGGGAGAGAAAUGGGGAGAAAGGAGGGAGAGAGAGAGAGAGAGAGAUCACUUGCUUUUUACCCCAAUCUAAGAAUGUCCAGGGUGGGAGUGGAGGGCAAACAGUGGGGGCAGGGUACCUGUAUGGCAGAGCAUUUAGCACCAAGCAGGUAAAGGCCAGGGGCACCCUCUGCCUUGUGUAUUCAGAGCUUUGCCUGAUGAGGGCACAAUAGCAUUGGGUGGUUACCCCAAGGGGAGGGGCAGGGAAACCUGGGCUGGAUGGGAAGCAGAGGGAGGGUGAAGGAUGGGUGCUAAGCUCAGGGAUCGGGUGCCAUGCCUGCUCCCAAAGCUCCCUGAGACCUGUCCCCAAGUUCACCCCUAGCCCCCACUUGCCUCAGACCACAGAGCUUUGCUGGGCGAGGCAAUGUGGGCAGGCAGGCGGGGGGCUGGGGAUUCUAGACAGGACAGGGAGGGCAGAGGCAGGUCCGGGGGAGGGGUGAGUCACAGGCUCCCCUGCGGGGAGCCAGGUGCACAGGAGGCCCUGGCAAGCGCUCUAGGGACAGCUUGGAGGCCAGGCAGGUGGAACUGGGCGGAAGGCACCCGAGUAGGCAGCUUUAAUCGCAACUGACAGCUAUUUCUAGGUCCCUGGCAGGCAGGGUCGGCAGUGCUGGGGGCAGACACCUGUUGGAGUCACGCAGGCCUUGCGGUAUGGGUGGGGCUGUGUGCAGGGUGUGGUAGGUGUGGAUAUGGCCCUGGGGAAGGGGUAUCUGUGUGAGAUACAGAUAUAGAGAAAGCAGUGAGCUGUGGGUUAAAGCCACAGAGGUGAAUGAACAGGGACUGA